This 467-nucleotide ribosomal RNA is filed under the name bacterium EJ10-5. RNAcentral describes it as "bacterial SSU rRNA". It matches the Rfam family "Bacterial small subunit ribosomal RNA", at positions 229 to 708 of the family's 1533-position model. The record is from RNAcentral.
ACUCGCGGCCUAUCAGCUUGUUGGUGAGGUAAUGGCUCACCAAGGCGACGACGGGUAGCCGGCCUGAGAGGGUGACCGGCCACACUGGGACUGAGACACGGCCCAGACUCCUACGGGAGGCAGCAGUGGGGAAUAUUGCACAAUGGGCGAAAGCCUGAUGCAGCGACGCCGCGUGAGGGAUGACGGCCUUCGGGUUGUAAACCUCUUUCAGUAGGGAAGAAGCGAAAGUGACGGUACCUGCAGAAGAAGCGCCGGCUAACUACGUGCCAGCAGCCGCGGUAAUACGUAGGGCGCAAGCGUUAUCCGGAAUUAUUGGGCGUAAAGAGCUCGUAGGCGGUUUGUCGCGUCUGCCGUGAAAGUCCGGGGCUCAACUCCGGAUCUGCGGUGGGUACGGGCAGACUAGAGUGAUGUAGGGGAGACUGGAAUUCCUGGUGUAGCGGUGAAAUGCGCAGAUAUCAGGAGGAACA